Ribosomal RNA from Danio rerio (zebrafish), 115 nucleotides. The record is from Ensembl. NCBI's taxonomy places the organism in Eukaryota, Metazoa, Chordata, Actinopteri, Cypriniformes, Danionidae.
GCCGGCAGCUAGCUCUCUGCAACCCUCAUAUGGUCACCCAUUGAAGCUAAGCAGAGUUGCAUCUGAACAGUAACUGGAUGGGAGACCACAUGGGAAAGCUAGGUUGCUGCCGGAA